GUGCUCGUUUCAUCAGUGCAUAUACUCAAAUUGGAACGAUACAGAGAAGAUUAGCAUGGCCCCUGCACAAGGAUGACAUGCAAAUUCGUGAAGUGUUCCAUAAUUUU
Molecule: small nuclear RNA, 107 nt
Organism: Chiloscyllium plagiosum (whitespotted bambooshark)
Lineage: Eukaryota; Metazoa; Chordata; Chondrichthyes; Orectolobiformes; Hemiscylliidae
Source: RefSeq, a predicted model, not a curated record